This 652-nucleotide ribosomal RNA is filed under the name uncultured bacterium. RNAcentral describes it as "bacterial SSU rRNA". It matches the Rfam family "Bacterial small subunit ribosomal RNA", at positions 8 to 651 of the family's 1533-position model. The record is from RNAcentral.
AGAGUUUGAUCCUGGCUCAGAUUGAACGCUGGCGGCAUGCCUAACACAUGCAAGUCGAACGGAAACGAUGGGAGCUUGCUCCCAGGCGUCGAGUGGCGGACGGGUGAGUAAUACUUAGGAAUCUGCCCAUUAGUGGGGGACAACUAGAAGAAAUUCUAGCUAAUACCGCAUACGCCCUACGGGGGAAAGCGGGGGAUCUUCGGACCUCGCGCUAAUGGAUGAGCCUAAGUCGGAUUAGCUUGUUGGUGAGGUAAUGGCUCACCAAGGCGACGAUCCGUAGCUGGUCUGAGAGGACGAUCAGCCACACUGGGACUGAGACACGGCCCAGACUCCUACGGGAGGCAGCAGUGGGGAAUAUUGGACAAUGGGCGCAAGCCUGAUCCAGCAAUGCCGCGUGUGUGAAGAAGGCCUGCGGGUUGUAAAGCACUUUCAGUAGAGAAGAAAAGCCUACGGUUAAUAGCCGUAAGUCUUGACGUAACCUACAGAAGAAGCACCGGCUAACUCCGUGCCAGCAGCCGCGGUAAUACGGAGGGUGCGAGCGUUAAUCGGAAUUACUGGGCGUAAAGCGCGCGUAGGCGGCUUUGUCAGUCGGAUGUGAAAGCCCCGGGCUUAACCUGGGAAUUGCAUUCGAUACUGCAUGGCUAGAGUAUGG